Vigna unguiculata (cowpea) is the source of this 264-nucleotide RNA transcript. RefSeq lists it as uncharacterized. NCBI's taxonomy places the organism in Eukaryota, Viridiplantae, Streptophyta, Magnoliopsida, Fabales, Fabaceae. The record is from RefSeq and is a predicted model, not a curated record.
CUUCAGAAAAGGGUGGGACCCUACACACAGGUGGUUCCAUUACCACUCAUGAGCAUGCCCUUCGUAUGGAAAAAGAGUUGGGGCGAGAGGCAUAUAUUGAUGAGGUAUUUUACCAAACUCGUCUUCGCAAGGGAUCUAGCCAGUUUGUUGAUGAAAGGUCUCGAAGAACACAUGAAGAAUUUUCAACUAGACUGUCACAGGUCAGAUCUGAGCAAGGGUCCUGUGCUGAGGCGUCAGAGCAUAAUGAUGAGGAAGACGUCAUUA